GCGGUGGCUUGUGGAAGCGCCGUCGCUCAACGGAUAAAAGGUACCCCGGGGAUAACAGGCUGAUCUUCCCCAAGAGUCCAUAUCGACGGGAUGGUUUGGCACCUCGAUGUCGGCUCGUCGCAUCCUGGGGCUGGAGUCGGUCCCAAGGGUUGGGCUGUUCGCCCAUUAAAGCGGUACGCGAGCUGGGUUUAGAACGUCGUGAGACAGUUCGGUCCCUAUCCGCUGUGCGCGCAGGAGUCUUGAGAAGGGCUGUCCCUAGUACGAGAGGACCGGGACGGACGAACCUCUGGUGUGCCAGUUGUCCUGCCAAGGGCAUGGCUGGUUGGCUACGUUCGGGAGGGAUAACCGCUGAAAGCAUCUAAGCGGGAAGCCUGCUUCGAGAUGAGGACUCCCACCCACUUGAUGGGGUAAGGCUCCCAGCAGACGACUGGGUUGAUAGGCCGGAUCUGGAAGCACGGUAACGUGUGGAGGUGACCGGUACUAAUAGGCCGAGGGCUUGUCCUCAGCUG
Molecule: ribosomal RNA, 509 nt
Filed under: Streptomyces sp. NWU49
Lineage: Bacteria; Bacillati; Actinomycetota; Actinomycetes; Kitasatosporales; Streptomycetaceae
Description: bacterial LSU rRNA
Rfam family: Bacterial large subunit ribosomal RNA
Source: RNAcentral